Molecule: small RNA, 107 nt
Filed under: Marmota monax (woodchuck)
Lineage: Eukaryota; Metazoa; Chordata; Mammalia; Rodentia; Sciuridae
Source: RNAcentral
GCCGGGUGCAGUGAUGCACACCUGUAAUCCCAGCAGCUCAGGAGGCUGAGGAAGGAGGAUCAGGAGUUCAAAGCCAGCCUCAGCAACUCAGUGAGACUCUGUCUCUA